AGUGCCAAGGCCGGUGUGAGUGCCAAGCACUAGGAGAAGGACCCUGAGUGAGCAUGGACGUGGGAGCAGGGGUGUUCCUCGACUUUAUACACCUUGGGGGUGGGAGUGGGGCUCCCUGCAUGGGUUGACAAGGCAUUGCUUUUCCCCACCCCACCUCUGUCCCAGCCCUGCAAGUCCAAUCCUUGGGGGUCUAGGAGGGAAGAAGCCCCUGGCUGUGUGACCUUAGGCUGGUGCCUGGCCCUCUCUGGCUCUGAGUUUCUGGGAAAGUCAGCACCCAAGGAACGCCCUCCAGUUUAGCACCUUGACAAGAAAGCUUGGCUCAAAGGCUCAAGGCAUCAAAGGCUCAGCCUGCCCCUCAGGAAGCAGCCCGGGCCCAGCGAGACACUCACCAGGACAAGGGCAACUGUGAUGAGCAGGAGGCCCAGGAUAAGGAGAGCCACGGCAUAGCUGGAGCCUCGUGCCCUCAACCCCAGAACCCUGGUCUGAGUCCUGGGUCACCCAGGACCACCCUGGACCCACUGGAAUUCGUCCAGCACCACUUGGUCAAAGUUCUGCAGAGAUCUGAGGACAAGGGUCAGCUGGGGGUCAGGAGAGGAUGAAGAGGGUCACAGCUCUACCAGACGAAGCCUCAUUCCUUGUGGCGCCCGGCCCACCCCUCUGAUGUGGGCCCUAAACCUCCGGCUGGCCCAGCCCUGCAGAGAACUGAGUCCCAGAGGAGGUGCAGGUGGAGUCAUUGAAGCAACACUGCAGCUGGACCUGGGUCUGAGUCCCUGCUCCUGGCUGUGAGAUGCGCCUCUCCCUCUGUUUAUUCAUCUGAAGGAUAGGGCUGUGCUGUUCUGGGUUUGCUGUGACAAUUGAACUGGCCUCUGUGAGUUGGUGGUGGCCUCCUGAGAUGGCUUGAGGUGAGCUGGAGGUGUGUAUUGAAUGCCCCCUCGCACCCACGGGGAAGACCCACUUAAGGAA
RNAcentral lists this long non-coding RNA (963 nucleotides) under Macaca mulatta (Rhesus monkey). RNAcentral describes it as "lncRNA (ENSMMUG00000057880.1)". Lineage: Eukaryota; Metazoa; Chordata; Mammalia; Primates; Cercopithecidae. The record is from RNAcentral.